UGCCGCCGAACCUGCCUGACUUUCGGCUCUGGAGGGACUUUCGGCUGCCGAACCUGCCGCCGAAAGUGCCCUGUCCAGCCCUUUCUUGCAUGUUUUUCUAUGAUUGUUUCAUGAUAUUUUAGGGGGUUUUUGGGGAAUAGUUUAGAGUUAUGUUCACGUAUGUUUGGUCCCUCAUUUGAGUCCACCUGUGUAGGUUCGGACCCGAGGAACCGAGGACCCCCGCAGUGAGUCUGUUGCCCCAGUGUCUGGUCAGAGCUAUCCAGAGG
Molecule: long non-coding RNA, 266 nt
Filed under: Manihot esculenta (cassava)
Lineage: Eukaryota; Viridiplantae; Streptophyta; Magnoliopsida; Malpighiales; Euphorbiaceae
Description: long non-coding RNA (MESC_LNC012448)
Source: RNAcentral